GCCUUCGUGGUGUAGUGGUCAACAUGCUCGACGAGUAACCGAGAGGUCCGUGGUUCGAUUCCCGGCGAAGGCG
This is a non-coding RNA of Stegodyphus mimosarum, 73 nucleotides long. NCBI's taxonomy places the organism in Eukaryota, Metazoa, Arthropoda, Arachnida, Araneae, Eresidae. The record is from Rfam.